GGUACCGUUGGUCAAGCGGUUAAGACACCGCCCUUUCACGGCGGUAACACGGGUUCGAAUCCCGUACGGGUCA
RNAcentral lists this transfer RNA (73 nucleotides) under Bacillus subtilis. Its description in RNAcentral is "tRNA-Glu". It matches the Rfam family "tRNA". Rfam says of the family: Transfer RNA (tRNA) molecules are approximately 80 nucleotides in length. Their secondary structure includes four short double-helical elements and three loops (D, anti-codon, and T loops). Further hydrogen bonds mediate the characteristic L-shaped molecular structure. tRNAs have two regions of fundamental functional importance: the anti-codon, which is responsible for specific mRNA codon recognition, and the 3' end, to which the tRNAs corresponding amino acid is attached (by aminoacyl-tRNA synthetases). tRNAs cope with the degeneracy of the genetic code in two manners: having more than one tRNA (with a specific anti-codon) for a particular amino acid; and 'wobble' base-pairing, i.e. permitting non-standard base-pairing at the 3rd anti-codon position. The record is from RNAcentral. Lineage: Bacteria; Bacillati; Bacillota; Bacilli; Caryophanales; Bacillaceae.